CUCAGAGCACCCUCAACCGAGGGUAAUGGGCCACGGUUCGCCGUGCCGGUUGCAAGCCCGG
RNAcentral lists this non-coding RNA (61 nucleotides) under unclassified sequences. The record is from RNAcentral.